This 379-nucleotide ribosomal RNA is filed under the name uncultured bacterium. RNAcentral's name for it is "bacterial SSU rRNA". It matches the Rfam family "Bacterial small subunit ribosomal RNA", at positions 29 to 404 of the family's 1533-position model. The record is from RNAcentral.
AGUGAACGCUGGCGGCAGGCCUAACACAUGCAAGUCGAGCGGCAGCGCGGGUGUAGCAAUACAUCUGGCGGCGAGCGGCGGACGGGUGAGGAAUACAUCGGAAUUUACCCAAUCGUGGGGGAUAACGUAGGGAAACUUACGCUAAUACCGCAUGAACUGGAGACAGCAAAGCGGCGGACCUUCGGGCGUCGCGCGGUUGGAUGAGCCGAUGUCGGAUUAGCAGUUGGCGGGGUAAAGGCCCACCAAGGCGACGAUCCGUAGCUGGUCUGAGAGGAUGAUCAGCCACACUGGAACUGAGACACGGUCCAGACUCCUACGGGAGGCAGCAGUGGGGAAUAUUGGACAAUGGGCGCAAGCCUGAUCCAGCCAUGCCGCGUGU